This 253-nucleotide ribosomal RNA is filed under the name uncultured bacterium. Its description in RNAcentral is "partial 16S ribosomal RNA". It matches the Rfam family "Bacterial small subunit ribosomal RNA", at positions 524 to 776 of the family's 1533-position model. The record is from RNAcentral.
UACGGAGGGUGCAAGCGUUAUCCGGAUUCACUGGGUUUAAAGGGUGUGUAGGCGGGCUGUUAAGUCAGUGGUGAAAUCCCCGGGCUCAACCUGGGAACUGCCGUUGAUACUAUCAGUCUUGAAUUCUGUUGAGGUGGGCGGAAUACAUCAUGUAGCGGUGAAAUGCUUAGAUAUGAUGUAGAACACCGAUUGCGAAGGCAGCUCACUAAGCAGCGAUUGACGCUGAGGCACGAAAGCGUGGGGAUCAAACAGG